RNAcentral lists this unclassified non-coding RNA (619 nucleotides) under Proiphys cunninghamii. RNAcentral's name for it is "partial miscellaneous RNA". The record is from RNAcentral. Lineage: Eukaryota; Viridiplantae; Streptophyta; Magnoliopsida; Asparagales; Amaryllidaceae.
GCUGUUGAAGCUCCAUCUACAAUGGAUAAGACUUCCGUCUUAAUGUAUUAAGAAUCGUUGAAGGAGUCAUACCCAAUAUCUAUCUUGUUUUCGUAAGAUAUUGGGUAUAGCUCCCUUUAUCAUAAGGUUAUCCCCCGCCAAUGAAUGAUAAGUAUCUUUUUUUUUUAUUCAAAAUUAACGACAAGAUUUAUUAUCGUUUCUCGCAUGUCUCGCGAAAGUCAGAGUAGGCRAGAAUUCUCCCAAUUUGUGACCUACCAUACGAUCUGUUAUAUAAAUAGGUAAAUGUUCCUUUCCAUUAUGAAUAGCGAUUGUAUGGCCAAUCAUUUUGGGUAUAAUGGUAGAUGCCCGAGACCAAGUUACUAUUAUUUCUUUCUCCUCCCUCAUGUUGAGUUUUUCAAUUUUUCUCAAUAAAUGAUUAGCUACAAAAGGAUUUUUUUUUAGUGAACGUGCCACAGCUGAUUACUCCUUUUUUUACAUUUUAAAGAUUGGCAUUCUAUGUCCAAUAGAAUAUCUCGAUCUAAGUAUGAAGGUAAGAAUAAAUACCUAAUGAUGAAUGGAAAAAAGAAAAAAUCCUUUAGCUAGAUAAGGGGCGGAUGUAGCCAAGUGAUCAAGGCAGUGG